UAUAUAUAUAUAAUUAAUUAAUAAUAAUAAUUAAUAUACGCCUACUGUAUGAUAGCUAGCAAAUUAAUUAGCUAACUAACGUUAGCCUGCCGAGCUGGAACUUCUGAAGAAUAUAUAUAUUUCUUCUUCUACAAUUUCCAAAAGAUAACCAAACAACACAUUUACUUUUUAUGAUACGUGUUUGUGCAUUAGUAGUACAAUGUCUAACCUAUUUGCAUUCGUUUCUACUUACACUUAUAUUUUCACUUCUCCAUUGAUGUUGUUUAACUUUUCGUAGACUUUUCUUAGCGGAUGUACAAUCAUCGCGAAUUGAAUUCUGGGGGAGUUUCAGACCUCGGAGUGAACAUAAUUGUACACUCGCAAAGCCGAAUAAAAACGAGGCCUGAGGGGCUUACGUUGCAAACUUCCCUUGUUUGGCUAAUCAUUUGGACCGCCCAACAAGAUGGCAACAGGGAUUCCCCCAAGGGCAUAAGGCGAGGGAAAGUGGACGAGGGUGUGUCUUAUAAGUGUUUGGACCGCAAACCAAAAGUGUAGGUGGAAGAUGAGGCUCUGGACACAAUUCAGCCGGUUGUCUCUCUUUUAAUGACUGCAUGGAAUGGAUACAAGGCUAAAGUUACUGCUGCCGUCUGGACUCCAUACAAGUAUAUGUGCCUCUCCUCUUAACGCGCUGAGCAAACUCCGUAGUAAAAACAUCAAUAAAAUCCAUUGUACAUGUUCAUAUUUUCAAAA
This is a long non-coding RNA of Oncorhynchus keta (chum salmon), 729 nucleotides long. RefSeq lists it as uncharacterized. The transcript is spliced from 2 exons. The record is from RefSeq and is a predicted model, not a curated record. Lineage: Eukaryota; Metazoa; Chordata; Actinopteri; Salmoniformes; Salmonidae.